Molecule: non-coding RNA, 124 nt
Organism: Staphylococcus capitis
Lineage: Bacteria; Bacillati; Bacillota; Bacilli; Caryophanales; Staphylococcaceae
Source: Rfam
GUACCUUCGAUAAUUAAUUAAACAUCUCUUAAUUAGUAUGAGUAUACCCCAUAAUAUACUAACGAAGGUAAAUUUUGACUCCCUUUAGUAGUGGAUCCAUGCGAGCAACGUAUGGGUCCUUUUU